CUACGGAGGGUGCAAGCGUUAAUCGGAAUUACUGGGCGUAAAGCGUACGUAGGCGGCUCGUUAAGUUAGAUGUGAAAGCCCCGGGCUUAACCUGGGAACUGCAUUUAAAACUGGCGAACUAGAGUUGAGUAGAGGGGAGUGGAAUUUCAGGUGUAGCGGUGAAAUGCGUAGAGAUCUGAAGGAACACCAGUGGCGAAGGCGACUCCCUGGACUCGAACUGACGCUGAGGUACGAAAGCGUGGGUAGCAAACGGGAUUAGAAACCCCGGUAGUCC
This 274-nucleotide ribosomal RNA is filed under the name uncultured bacterium. Its description in RNAcentral is "partial 16S ribosomal RNA". It matches the Rfam family "Bacterial small subunit ribosomal RNA", at positions 523 to 796 of the family's 1533-position model. The record is from RNAcentral.